AAGACCUUGCACUUUUGGAGCGGCCGAUGUCUGAUUAGCUAGUUGGUAGGGUAAUGGCCUACCAAAGCUUCGAUCAGUAGCUGGUCUGAGAGGACGGCCAGCCACACUGGGACUGAGACACGGCCCAGACUCCUACGGGAGGCAGCAGUGGGGAAUUUUGGACAAUGGGCGCAAGCCUGAUCCAGCCAUGCCGCGUGAGUGAAGAAGGCCUUCGGGUUGUAAAGCUCUUUCAGCCGGGAAGAAAAGGUUGCGACUAAUAAUCGCAAUCCAUGACGGUACCGAAAGAAGAAGCACCGGCUAACUACGUGCCAGCAGCCGCGGUAAUACGUAGGGUGCGAGCGUUAAUCGGAAUUACUGGGCGUAAAGGGUGCGCAGGCGGUUUUGUAAGUCAGAUGUGAAAUCCCCGGGCUUAACCUGGGAACU
RNAcentral lists this ribosomal RNA (423 nucleotides) under uncultured bacterium. RNAcentral describes it as "bacterial SSU rRNA". It matches the Rfam family "Bacterial small subunit ribosomal RNA", at positions 207 to 622 of the family's 1533-position model. The record is from RNAcentral.